AGAAGGAGUGUGACACAGGCCAGUGGAGCGAGUGGAGCCAGCCUGUGUGCUUCCAGGCUCCCCAGAGACAAGGAACAGUAAGAGGACCUUGUGCAUGAAUAAUUUGUUUCCACACUACAGAGUGGCAGAAGAAUCCCAGACUUCUUAGAGAACCCAGUGACUUUUUGCACCUUAAAUCUGUGAAAUCCUCAUGUUUUCUUCUGCCGUAUCCAUAGUUCAAACAAAGAUGAGGCAAAGCUAGAUGCAUUCCUGAAGGAACCCAAGAAAUUCCUCUCUUUAUUUCUCUGGAAUGAAAUGAAUUCUCUAGACCACCAGUUCUAACCUUCAAAAACCAAACCUGUUUGUGAGAUCUCCUUCAAAUACUACUGUAGACCCCAGUGUUUAUUCAUUAAAUUUUUAAAAUAUUUGUUUU
RNAcentral lists this long non-coding RNA (412 nucleotides) under Homo sapiens (human). RNAcentral describes it as "non-protein coding lnc-TRIM28-12:3". Lineage: Eukaryota; Metazoa; Chordata; Mammalia; Primates; Hominidae. The record is from RNAcentral.